Molecule: microRNA, 22 nt
Filed under: Gallus gallus (chicken)
Lineage: Eukaryota; Metazoa; Chordata; Aves; Galliformes; Phasianidae
Description: gga-miR-12238-3p
Source: miRBase by way of RNAcentral
UUGGGCUGGGCUUGCUGCGUGG